GACGAACGCUGGCGGCGUGCUUAACACAUGCAAGUCGAACGGAAAGGCCCUGCUUUCGUGGGGUUCUCGAGUGGCGAACGGGUGAGUAACACGUGAGUAACCUGCCCUUGACUUUGGGAUAACUUCAGGAAACUGGGGCUAAUACCGGAUAGGAGCUCCUGUUGCAUGGUGGGGGGUGGAAAGUUUCGGCGGUUGGGGAUGGAUUCGCGGCUUACCGGCUUGUUGGUCGGGUAGUGGCUUACCAAGGCCUUGACGGGUAGCCGGCCUGGGAGGGUGGCCGGCCACAUUGGGACUGCGAUACGGCCCAGACUCCUACGGGAGGCAGCAGUGGGAAAUAUUGCACAGUGGGCGGAAGCCUGAUGCAGCAACGCCGCGUGCGGGAUGACGGCCUUCGGGUUGUAAACCGCUUUCGCCUGUGACGAAGCGUGAGUGACGGUAAUGGGUAAAGAAGCACCGGCUAACUACGUG
This 468-nucleotide ribosomal RNA is filed under the name uncultured bacterium. RNAcentral's name for it is "partial 16S ribosomal RNA". It matches the Rfam family "Bacterial small subunit ribosomal RNA", at positions 28 to 507 of the family's 1533-position model. The record is from RNAcentral.